AAUCCCUGCCCGCCUCCCUCCCCCCCCUUUUUGUUUAUAUUUUUUUCAGAAUUUCUGGUUUGGGUGUUUUUGUAAUUUGUAGUAGUUUAAUUAUUUUUAUAACAUCUGAAUUAUUUAAAAGAUGAACCCAACUGAAUUUUUAGCUGAAAAUAAUGCUUGUGGGCAAACUAUUUUGCUGUUAGUUUCAAGAGGAAAUGCAAUUAUAGCAGAAUUAUUAAGAUUGAAAGACUUUAUUCCCAAAGUUUACAGGCUUGAAUCCAAACAUGUUCUUCAAAAGUAUGGUGAAAUUAUUUUAGAUUUCUCCUAUCUGCAAACUUCUGAGCUACAUGAGAAAAAAAUUGAGGAAAACGAGGCUUUACGAGAUCUAGAUGAGGAGUUUCGUGAUAACCAUAUAGAGAUCAUUAAUCGAUUUUACUUGUUGUUUGAAAGCAUUCAUAGCUAUGUUAUAGAUUUAAAUCAUUACAUUGAUGAGCUAGAAGAAGGUUUUUAUAUUCACCAGUCAAUAGAGACUGUGUUUCAGGAUCCCGAAGGAAAACAGUUACUGUGUGAAGCAUUAUUUUUGUAUGGCUUAAUGUUGAUUAUGGUGGAUGCAUAUAUAGACGGUCCAAUUAGAGAGAGAUUAUUAGUGUCUUAUAACAGGUAUACACCUCAAAGAAGAGAUACUCAAAGCUGUUUUGAUGAAGUCUGUAAACUUCUUAUGGAUACUGGUGCUAAUGGCACCAAGAAAGCGCAAAAUUAUCCGGAGGAUUACUUUAAGCGUGUGCCAAUUAAUUCUAACUACGUGGAAAUGGUAAUAGGUCGUCUGAGAUCUGACGAUAUAUAUUCUCAAAUAUCAGUUUAUCCUUUACCAAAACAUAGGAGUACUGCACUAGCCACUCAAGCCGCAAUGUUAUAUGUUUGUUUGUUUUUUUGUCCCAAAAUUUUACAUUUGGAAGCAGCUGUCAUGAGAGAAGUUGUUGACAAAUACUUUCCUGAUAACUGGAUUAUUUCUGUUUAUAUGGGCUUUGUUAUAAAUCUGGCUGAUGCUUGGGAAAACUUUAAAUCUGCUAAGCAGGCUCUUAGCAACACCUUACAAUACUCCAACAUUAAAAAUGUCUCGAGCACACAUGGAAAAAACGUGCCACAAUUGCUUAGUGCAACCAGUAAUUUGCUUAAAGAGGGAAAUAUAACUAGUGAUUCGUUGUUAAAACAUAUAAACAGUAUCUUAAAUACAUUGAGGCAGUGUAACGUAACAUUGAGGUGGUUGAUUCUACAUACUGUUAUAAAACCAGGCACAACAGAAAAGAAUAAGAAACUAAAACAUUAUCGAGACCAAGUAAUAUCAGAAAUAAAUUGCGAUCAAGUAAGUUUGUUUAAACUUUUGUUAAAUACUGCCCAGUUGGAGCUGGUAACCAAAGAAUUAUACAAAAGUCUUAUGUCAGAAAAAGACUUCCAAUGGGAAAAUCUUAAAAAAAGCAGUUGUAAAAACCUUAUUGAACUGUCGGAAGUCUUUAGCGGUGAUAAACCAUUGACUAGAAUCCAGAAAAAUUCGGAUUUAGAAAGAUGGUUUAAGGAAAUAUCCAAUGAAGUUCAGAGUUUGGGUCGAGAAGACGUUAGUUCUUCUCGGAAAUUAGUGCAACUUAUACAAGCAUUAGAAGAGGUCCAAGAAUAUCAUCAGCUGGAUAAUAAUAUGCAGGUUGUGCAAUUCUUACAUGAAACCAGCAAUAACUUGCAUCAAAUGAUACGAACGAUGACUAUAAAAGAAGAUGACUUGAUAAACAUGCAAAUCAUUGGUGAUAUAAGCUACGCCUGGGAACUGGUAGAUUUUUAUACUAAUAUUAUGCAAAAUGGUAUAAAAAAAGAACCCAAGUUGGUUAUUAAGCUCCGAGCUGUUUUCUUAAAGCUAGCGUCUGCACUGGAACUUCCUCUACUACGAAUAAAUCAAGCUCAUAGCGAAGAUCUUAUAUCUGUGUCUGAAUAUUAUAGCAAAGAACUUGAAAUAUAUGUUCGAAAAGUGUUGCAAAUAAUUCCAAGCACUAUGUUUGAAAAUUUAGCUAGAAUUAUUCAGAUGCAGACUAGUGUCAUUAAAGAGAUACCCACACGAGUUGAUAAAGAUAAACUAAAAGAGUAUGCACAAUUAGAUGAAAGAUUUGAGUUCGCCGAGUUAACGCAUUCAAUAUCUAUUUUCAGCCAAGGCAUGCGUAUGAUGAAAAGCACGUUAGUAGGUGUUGUAUGCCUCGAUCCGAAACAGUUGCUGGAAGAUGGAAUCCGAAAAGAAUUGGUGCAACACAUUGCAAAAGCUCUUCAUAACGAGUUUAUAUUUAGUGCCAAGCCUAAACAGGAUGAACUAGAAGCAAAACUUAAAACUUUAGGUCAAAUUAUGGAUGGAUAUAAGCGAUCAUUUGAAUACAUUCAGGAUUAUAUAAAUAUCAAUGGAUUAAAAAUAUGGCAAGAAGAGGUGACCCGGAUAGUAAACUACAAUGUUGAGCAAGAAUGCAAUGGAUUUUUAAGAAAUAAGGUCCAUCCUUGGCAAAGUACCUAUCAGAGUAGGUACGUUCCUAUCCCAAUCCAUCCGCCUAUAGAUGAAAGUGAAAACUUUAUAGGAAGGUUAGCUCGUGAGGUUAUCAGAUUAACUCAUCCUAAAGUUGCUGUUUACUUACCUACUACCUCAACAUGGUAUGAUAUAAAAAACCAUAAACCUCUCUUUAACAAAGAAACUAUUGUUUCAAUAGCAAAAGCCAUUGAAAUUACUGGCGUGGUUGGCUUGGAUAGACUAUUUUCGUUUAUGAUAACCACAGCUUUACAGCGCAUAAUUGCUCACCUUGAAAAUAAAAAUAUUAAAAAUAGCUCUUGGGUCAAUGUUAUUACUACAAUAAAAAAUGAUAUGAGGCAAAGAACUGACUGGUCUAGCCCGUACAAAAUUUAUUCGGCAUAUGUGAAUAGAACGACAAAAAUCUGGUCCGAAUUCUUGGAGAAAAUAUUACUUGUUGGACAGUUACAACUGCUGCGAACCCUUAUAGCAUUUCAUUUAAAUAAAACUUGUAGAUUUAAUGCCAAGAUCCUCGAGUCUUCUUUAAGGUCUUUCAAUAAAUCUCUGCUUCUGGAUUUGAAAAAAGGCAAUACUCAAUUAUCUGAAGAGUUUAUGGUUAAAUUGUCCGAAUAUUUUAACUACGCGGGGCUAAAUGAACCUUUUAACAAAGUCUAUGUAACUACCCGAAAUGAUAAGGACUAUGCAUUGAUUCUGUUUUUAUUUGUCUUGGUACAUGUGAAGUUUAUGUUUUUGCCUCAAAAUCUUGCUAGCAUAAAUAAGCGAACAAAUGACCAGUUAGAUGGCGUUGCGUUAUCAGUCUCAGUUCAUACUAUUCUCAAACAAUUCCAUUCUGAAGUCAAUGAAGAGUUUAUAAAACUACUUGCAGAGUUUGUGAUGCAGUUAUCAAAAAAUAAUGGGUCAAAAACUUUUGAAACAUUACCAGAGGUGACUAUGAUGCUAAACUUUCUGGAUUGUUAUACCGAAUAUUCUGAAUCCUCAAGACAGUAUUGCCGCCAGUAUCUGCCAGAAGAAUUUGUGCAAAUUCAACAAUCCUUGACAUCAAAUUCAUCGGUUUAGAAAAAAGCACUAUAAAAUCUGGAUUUAAAUAAGAAGACGCAUAAUUUGUAUAUAUUCAUCUUAAGG
This 3652-nucleotide unclassified non-coding RNA is filed under the name Anthonomus grandis grandis. RNAcentral describes it as "wASH complex subunit 5". Lineage: Eukaryota; Metazoa; Arthropoda; Insecta; Coleoptera; Curculionidae. The record is from RNAcentral.